Long non-coding RNA from Tigriopus californicus, 395 nucleotides. RefSeq lists it as uncharacterized. The transcript is spliced from 3 exons. The record is from RefSeq and is a predicted model, not a curated record. Lineage: Eukaryota; Metazoa; Arthropoda; Copepoda; Harpacticoida; Harpacticidae.
UCAACAUCGAGGCCGCAUUCUUCACCGCGUUUUCUCGUUUAGCCUGGGCAAUCGGAAUUUCUUGGGUGAUCUUUGCUUGUCAGACGGGAUAUGAAGGAUUCAUUGGACAUGUCCUGGGCUAUCCAUUAUGGAAUCCGUUGAGUCGAAUGACGUACGAGUGUUAUCUAAUUCAUCUGCCCAUGAUUUAUGCAUUCCAUAAGUCGAGGAAGAGUGUCAUGUACUUUGACAAAUUCUUCAUGUUCUACGUCUUUAUGGGUCACUUGAUCGUGAGUGUGAUUCUGUCCGUGUUCCUAACCUUAAUGUUUGAAUCCCCCUUCAUCGGCCUUGAAAAGCUCUUGUUCAGUGGGCCUCAAAAGAAACGGGCAGAGUUCAAGAGACAGCAAUCUCAGAUACAG